Non-coding RNA from Rattus norvegicus (Norway rat), 1038 nucleotides. The record is from RefSeq and is a predicted model, not a curated record. NCBI's taxonomy places the organism in Eukaryota, Metazoa, Chordata, Mammalia, Rodentia, Muridae.
ACAUAAGUGUUAUGUGCACACACCACCUUUUCUAUAAGGGACUUGACUAUAUAUGGAUUCUGGAAUCUUCUAGGUGUUCUAGAACUCUUCUUCUAAGAGGGAAGGCUAUCCUGCCUCUGUGUCCCUCCCAAACAUGAGCCCCUGCCUCCUCAUUACCACGGAUGUCAUAAGAAUUUCCAUAAGAUGCCAUGAAACCCCUGGUCUAAUAUGAGAACUCUGUGGGUUUAGGUUCACUAAGGGAGGGGCUUGUCUUUUAAUAGUGGCUCCUUCCAAGAGGGUUGGCAGGAGGAACUUGACAGAUGGCACGCCAUUUCCACAUUCUAGUUAGCUCCCCUGUCAAGGUGACAGUCAUGGUGUCACAGGCUGUCAGGUGUGGCCACUACAGCUCCUUGUACUGGAGCCUGGAGCCUACCCUUGUCUGUGAGGAGAAGGUGAAGCUUGGAGACCCAUCGACUUUGAAGAUUCUUUAAGCCAGGAAGGCCAAAGACCUCAACCCCUUGCUGACCUGGCUGACACUCAGUUGCUUCCCCCAAAGCCCCUUGUCUCUGCUUGUGAUCCAGCAAUAAAGGAGGGGACAGGAUGUGGCCAACGGGUGCAUGGAAGGUGUGUCCAGGUGAUCGGAAGGUGACACGAGGAACCUGGGAGGAACAAGGAGUGUCACUGGAUCUUGUACAGUGCCAGCAACUUCAGGAGGCUCCUUUGCAAUGGUCACAGCAGUCUAGCAAAUGGGAUGAAGGCCAUCUGUGGAGUUCUUUGGAGCGGCGGCCAGAUAACCAGGUCAGCGUGACCUUGGGAAAGUCGCUGGCAUUUUCUCAGAGUCACUUCUCAUAUCUAACAUGUGAGACACGUUAUAGUAUAUGUGUUAUAAUACAGCAUAACGUGUUAUAAUAAACUGUGGCCUUUGCUGGUGUGGCUGGUGUGAGCGGGAAACUGCCUAGGGGGCUCAGCUCAGUGUGUGGAAGACAGAGUAUACUAGAUAUGGGUGUGCAAACUUGAUGCCAGCAUUUCCAAUAUAUAUAUACAUACAUAUAUAUACAC